UACCUCUUAUAGAAAGAUCUUCAUCCCAGUGCAGAGCCACCUCACAUGGCCCUGAGGAUUAAAGGACCAGCCAACCCUUCAUGUCUACUCCCAAAUGAAAAUGACCAGGUUUUGAACAGACCAAGCUCUGAGUGGUGGCCCAGGUGCCUCUAGGCAUACCAGAAAGACAUCUUGCUUGAACUACCAAGGUUCUGUGCUUUUAGGAGACACUGGAUUAGGAGCAAGGCGCCUCAAACAGACACUUCCUUCUCUCUCUGGGCACCGUCAAAACCUCCAAAUAAGCUGGCAACUGCAAAUGAAUUUCAAGCAUUUAACAAAGUGGGGUUGAACAUCACUUCACUCUGGUUUGCCGCGGAAGCCUUAAUAUUAAGGAAGCUAGAUAUGCCAGAAAUAUACCCAGAGAAAGGAAGAUACGAGAUCCAUGCAACUAAAGAGAGAAAGAAGCAACGAUCAUUCCCAAAUGUUGGCCAAGAGACAGCAUAAGGCGACAGGUGCACUGGGCAGGACACAGGCUGGAAGUGCUCAGGGGUUAUCUUGUGCAUUUCCUGGCUGUGCCCCACAGCGCACACACAAUACAAGCAGUGCCUUCCUUGUAUUCGUUGAUCAGAUAAACCAAGAAGAACCAUCAGGACUUAAAGACAUGGAGCACAGAAACUGGGAGAGAAGGUCACAUGUUGGUAGAUGCCAGCCUCCACUGUAGUAAGUCCUGCUGGGUACCCCAAAGUGGGCCCUGGGAAGCUCAGGCCAGCAUGAGGUCUUGGACCCUGGAGUUGAUGAUCAGAAAAUUAUCAACUCCUGGAAAAAGCAAAGGACCUGAAGACCAUCUCAGUUACAGUUCUCCUUCUAGCAAUGAGAAAAAUUUACGCUUUAGAAUCUUGCCUGUCUAGUUCUACAUCCAUUUAACAUAUCUGCUUUUGAUGGACUCCCAGAUAAAUGCAUGAAACGUAAAUAUAAA
Pan troglodytes (chimpanzee) is the source of this 955-nucleotide long non-coding RNA. RefSeq lists it as uncharacterized. The record is from RefSeq and is a predicted model, not a curated record. The transcript has 4 exons. Lineage: Eukaryota; Metazoa; Chordata; Mammalia; Primates; Hominidae.